Molecule: ribosomal RNA, 1340 nt
Filed under: uncultured bacterium
Lineage: Bacteria
Description: bacterial SSU rRNA
Rfam family: Bacterial small subunit ribosomal RNA
Source: RNAcentral
GACGAACUUUGGCGGCGUGCUUAACACAUGCAAGUCGAACGGUAAGGCUCCAGCUUGCUGGGGUACACGAGUGGCGAACGGGUGAGUAACACGUGGGUGACCUGCCCUGCACUUCGGGAUAAGCCUGGGAAACUGGGUCUAAUACCGGAUAGGACCGCACCGUGAGGGUGUGGUGGAAAGUUUUUUCGGUGUGGGAUGGGCCCGCGGCCUAUCAGCUUGUUGGUGGGGUAAUGGCCUACCAAGGCGGCGACGGGUAGCCGGCCUGAGAGGGUGGACGGCCACAUUGGGACUGAGACACGGCCCAGACUCCUACGGGAGGCAGCAGUGGGGAAUAUUGCACAAUGGGCGGAAGCCUGAUGCAGCGACGCCGCGUGGGGGAUGACAGCCUUCGGGUUGUAAACUCCUUUCACCAUCGACCAAAGGUUUCUGACGGUAGAUGGAGAAAAAACACCGGCUAACUACGUGCCAGCAGCCGCGGUAAUACGUAAGGUGCGAGCGUUGUCCGGAAUUACUGGGCGUAAAAAGCUCGUAAGUGGUUUGUCGCGUCCUCUGUGAAAAUCCGGGGCUUAACUCCGGGCGUGCAGGCGGACGGGCAUAACUUGAGUACUGUAGGGGAGACUGGAAUUCCUGGUGUAGCGGUGAAAUGCGCAGAUAUCAGGAGGAACACCGGUGGCGAAGGCGGGUCUCUGGGCAGUAACUGACGCUGAGGAGCGAAAGCAUGGGGAGCGAACAGGAUUAGAUACCCUGGUAGUCCAUGCCGUAAACGGUGGGCGCUAGGUGUGGGUUUCCUUCCACGGGAUCCGUGCCGUAGCUAACGCAUUAAGCGCCCCGCCUGGGGAGUACGGCCGCAAGGCUAAAACUCAAAGGAAUUGACGGGGGCCCGCACAAGCGGCGGAGCAUGUGGAUUAAUUCGAUGCAACGCGAAGAACCUUACCUGGGCUUGACAUAUACAGGAUCGCGCCAGAGAUGGUGUUUCCCUUGUGGCUUGUAUACAGGUGGUGCAUGGUUGUCGUCAGCUCGUGUCGUGAGAUGUUGGGUUAAGUCCCGCAACGAGCGCAACCCUUGUCUUAUGUUGCCAGCACGUUGUGGUGGGGACUCGUAAGAAACUGCCGGGGUUAACUCGGAGGAAGGUGGGGAUGACGUCAAAUCAUCAUGCCCCUUAUGUCCAGGGCUUCACACAUGCUACAAUGGUCGGUACAGUGGGUUGCCAGUCCGUGAGGGCGAGCUAAUCCCGCAAAGCCGGUCUCAGUUCGGAUCGGGGUCUGCAACUCGACCCCGUGAAGUCGGAGUCGCUAGUAAUCGCAGAUCAGCAACGCUGCGGUGAAUACGUUCCCGGGCCU